RNAcentral lists this transfer RNA (74 nucleotides) under Camelus bactrianus (Bactrian camel). It matches the Rfam family "tRNA". From Rfam's summary of the family: Transfer RNA (tRNA) molecules are approximately 80 nucleotides in length. RNAcentral also lists the same sequence under 1 other name. The record is from Rfam by way of RNAcentral. Lineage: Eukaryota; Metazoa; Chordata; Mammalia; Artiodactyla; Camelidae.
GAAGGUGUAGCUCAGAGUGGUAGAGCGUAUGCUUUGCAUCCACAAGGCCCUGGGUUCAAUCCCCAGUACCUCCU